RNAcentral lists this transfer RNA (76 nucleotides) under Dialister invisus. RNAcentral describes it as "tRNA-Lys". It matches the Rfam family "tRNA". Rfam says of the family: Transfer RNA (tRNA) molecules are approximately 80 nucleotides in length. Their secondary structure includes four short double-helical elements and three loops (D, anti-codon, and T loops). The record is from RNAcentral. Lineage: Bacteria; Bacillati; Bacillota; Negativicutes; Veillonellales; Veillonellaceae.
GGAUCAUUAGCUCAGUUGGUAGAGCACCUGACUCUUAAUCAGGGUGUCCAGGGUUCGAACCCCUGAUGAUCCACCA